This 119-nucleotide ribosomal RNA is filed under the name Pteropus alecto (black flying fox). Lineage: Eukaryota; Metazoa; Chordata; Mammalia; Chiroptera; Pteropodidae. The record is from RNAcentral.
GCCUAUGGCCAUGCCACUCUGAACAAGCCUGAUCCCAUCUGAUCUCAGAAGCCAAAAAGGGCCGGGCCUGGUUAGUACUUGGAUGGGAGACCACCUAGGAAUAUUAGGUGGUGUAGGCA